RNAcentral lists this ribosomal RNA (491 nucleotides) under uncultured bacterium. Its description in RNAcentral is "partial 16S ribosomal RNA". It matches the Rfam family "Bacterial small subunit ribosomal RNA", at positions 29 to 506 of the family's 1533-position model. The record is from RNAcentral.
AGUGAGCGCUGGCGGUAGGCCUAACACAUGCAAGUCGAACGGCAGCACAGUAAGAGCUUGCUCUUACGGGUGGCGAGUGGCGGACGGGUGAGGAAUACAUCGGAAUCUACUUUUUCGUGGGGGAUAACGUAGGGAAACUUACGCUAAUACCGCAUACGACCUACGGGUGAAAGCAGGGGAUCUUCGGACCUUGCGCGAUUGAAUGAGCCGAUGUCGGAUUAGCUAGUUGGCGGGGUAAAGGCCCACCAAGGCGACGAUCCGUAGCUGGUCUGAGAGGAUGAUCAGCCACACUGGAACUGAGACACGGUCCAGACUCCUACGGGAGGCAGCAGUGGGGAAUAUUGGACAAUGGGCGCAAGCCUGAUCCGGCCAUACCGCGUGGGUGAAGAAGGCCUUCGGGUUGUAAAGCCCUUUUGUUGGGAAAGAAAAGCAGCAGGUUAAUACCCCGCUGUUCUGACGGUACCCAAAGAAUAAGCACCGGCUAACUUCGU